AGAGCGAACGCUGGCGGCGUGCUUAACACAUGCAAGUCGAACGAGGUCUGUAGCAAUACAGAUACUCGUGGCGAACGGGUGCGUAACACGUGGAUAACCUUCCUUCAGGUGGGGAAUAACCCAGUGAAAAUUGGGCUAAUACCGCAUAACAUGACGAUGCCACAUGGUGUUGUCUUCAAAGGCGCAAGUCGCCAGAAGAGGGAUCCGCGGCCGAUUAGCUAGUUGGCGAGGUAAUGGCUCACCAAGGCAAUGAUCGGUAGCCGGACUGAGAGGUUGGCCGGCCACACUGGAACUGAGACACGGUCCAGACUCCUACGGGAGGCAGCAGUGGGGAAUCUUGCACAAUGGACGAAAGUCUGAUGCAGCAACGCCGCGUGGGGAUGAAGCUUUUCGGAGUGUAAACCCUUUCGACCCGGAAGAAAGCCCGCAAGGGUUUGACGGUACGGGUAUAAGAAGCCCGGCUAACUACGUGCCAGCAGCCGCGGU
This 486-nucleotide ribosomal RNA is filed under the name uncultured bacterium. RNAcentral describes it as "SSU rRNA". It matches the Rfam family "Bacterial small subunit ribosomal RNA", at positions 26 to 521 of the family's 1533-position model. The record is from RNAcentral.